RNAcentral lists this ribosomal RNA (253 nucleotides) under uncultured bacterium. RNAcentral describes it as "partial 16S ribosomal RNA". It matches the Rfam family "Bacterial small subunit ribosomal RNA", at positions 524 to 776 of the family's 1533-position model. The record is from RNAcentral.
UACAGAGGGUGCAAGCGUUAAUCGGAAUUACUGGGCGUAAAGGGUGUGUAGGUUGUUAACUUAGUCAGAUGUGAAAGCCCUGGGCUUAACCUGGGAACUGCGUUUGAAACUGGUUGACUAGAGUACUAUAGAGGACAGUGGAAUUUCCGGUGUAGCGGUGAAAUGCGUAGAUAUCGGAAGGAACACCAGUGGCGAAGGCGACUGUCUGGGCUGAUACUGACGCUGAGGUGCGAAAGCGUGGGGAGCAAACAGG